Molecule: ribosomal RNA, 1090 nt
Filed under: 'Jasminum sambac' phytoplasma
Lineage: Bacteria; Bacillati; Mycoplasmatota; Mollicutes; Acholeplasmatales; Acholeplasmataceae
Description: bacterial SSU rRNA
Rfam family: Bacterial small subunit ribosomal RNA
Source: RNAcentral
CGAAAGGUAUACUUAAAGAGGGGCUUGCGCCACAUUAGUUAGUUGGUAAGGUAAAGGCUUACCAAGACGAUGAUGUGUAGCUGGACUGAGAGGUCGAACAGCCACAUUGGGACUGAGACACGGAGAGGUUGAACAGCCACAUCAGCAGUAAGGAAUUUUUGGCAAUGGAGGAAACUCUGACCGAGCGACGUCGCGUGAACAAUGAAGUACUUCGGUAUUAAAGUUCUUUUAUUGAAAAAGAAAAAAUAGUGGAAAAACUAUCUUGACAUUAUUCAAUGAAUAAGCCCCGGCUAAUUAUGUGCCAGCAGCCGCGGUAAUACAUAAGGGGCGAGCGUUAUCCGGAAUUAUUGGGCGUAAAGGGUGCGUAGGCGGUUUGAAAGUCUAUAGUUUAAAUGCAGUGCUUAACGCUGUAGCGCUAUAGAAACUGUCUGACUAGAGUUAGAUAGAGGCAAGCGGAAUUCCAUGUGUAGCGGUAAAAUGCGUAAAUAUAUGGAGGAACACCAGAGGCGUAGGCGGCUUGAAAUAUAUGGACUGACGCUGAGGCACGAAAGCGUGGGGAGCAAACAGGAUUAGAUACCCUGGUAGUCCACUGGGGAGGCGAACAGGAUUAGAGUGUCGGGUUUCGGCUCGGUACUGAAGUUAACACAUUAAGUACUCCGCCUGAGUAGUACGUACGCAAGUAUGAAACUUAAAGGAAUUGACGGGACCCCGCACAAGCGGUGGAUCAUGUUGUUUAAUUCGAAGAUACACGAAAAACCUUACCAGGUCUUGACAUAAUUUUGCGACAUUAUAGAAAUAUAAUGAAGGUUAUCAGAAUUACAGGUGGUGCAUGGUUGUCGUCAGCUCGUGUCGUGAGAUGUUAGGUUAAGUCUUCGUUCAAGCUCGUGUCGUGAGAUGUUAGGUUAAGUCCUAAAACGAGCGAAACCCUUAUCGUGACUGCCAAUAAAAAUUGGAGGAAGGUGAGGAUUACGUCAAAUCAUCAUGCCCCUUAUGACUGGGCUACAAACGUGAUACAAUGGCUGUUACAAAGAGUAGCUACAACGUGAGUUUUAGCCAAUCUCAAAAAAACAGUCUCAGUUCGGAUUGAAGU